CAAUAAGCUGAAAAUUAAGUUUUCUAAAUAUAUUCGGAUAAAAUGAAAGGAAAUUUGGAGAAAAUAACAAAGGAACUCACGUUGCCGGAACCACAUCAUAGGUAUUUAAAUGGAUACAAUGAUUGAAAAAAUAAAUACAGAGAAAAAAACAAAAGCUAUAUAAACACGUCAUAAAAUGAACACCACCUUUGCCAGAGAAAAUUACCC
Molecule: long non-coding RNA, 207 nt
Filed under: Salvia miltiorrhiza (redroot sage)
Lineage: Eukaryota; Viridiplantae; Streptophyta; Magnoliopsida; Lamiales; Lamiaceae
Description: long non-coding RNA (SMIL_LNC000370)
Source: RNAcentral